AAGGCUUUAGCUUAAUUAAAGUGUUUGUUUUGCAUACAGAAGAUGUGAGGUAGUAUCUUGCAAGUCUUA
This 69-nucleotide transfer RNA is filed under the name Nandus nandus. RNAcentral's name for it is "tRNA-Ala". It matches the Rfam family "tRNA". From Rfam's summary of the family: Transfer RNA (tRNA) molecules are approximately 80 nucleotides in length. The record is from RNAcentral. Lineage: Eukaryota; Metazoa; Chordata; Actinopteri; Anabantiformes; Nandidae.